Molecule: transfer RNA, 69 nt
Filed under: Ictidomys tridecemlineatus (thirteen-lined ground squirrel)
Lineage: Eukaryota; Metazoa; Chordata; Mammalia; Rodentia; Sciuridae
Description: Spermophilus tridecemlineatus (thirteen-lined ground squirrel) tRNA
Rfam family: tRNA
About the family: Transfer RNA (tRNA) molecules are approximately 80 nucleotides in length. Their secondary structure includes four short double-helical elements and three loops (D, anti-codon, and T loops).
Source: Rfam by way of RNAcentral
GGGGCUGUAGCUCAGUGGUAGAGCACCUGUCUUGCAUGUGGAAGGAACUGGGUUCGAUCCUCAGCACCA